Long non-coding RNA from Canis lupus familiaris (dog), 1074 nucleotides. RefSeq lists it as uncharacterized. The record is from RefSeq and is a predicted model, not a curated record. NCBI's taxonomy places the organism in Eukaryota, Metazoa, Chordata, Mammalia, Carnivora, Canidae. The transcript has 3 exons.
CAGCAACUUCCCUCCUCAUAACAGAUACCUUUGAGCUGGAACUCAUCUGCCGCUAGCUCCUUGGCAUUUGUUCAGCACUGGCCGAGGAGCCAGAUCAACAAAUGGUGCUGAAGUCAGGACAAGCUGUUCUUGCUGGGCAGACUCCUUUUAUGAAAUACUGAUAAUAUUCAAAAUAAUUAGGCAACUGAGACCCCAGGUAACAGUGAAAGAGCCUAAGAAUGUCACAGUGAGAGGGGGCAGCGCAGAGCUCUAGUCCAUGUCCCUCAUGUGAGAGGAAACCAAAACCCAAAGCCACGAAGUGACCAGCCUGAGGCCACCAAGCCGAAGCCCUCUCAGGAAUGGGAUCAGCCCCGGUUCAAGAUCAAACUCUCUUCACAAUGCAAGAUAGAAAAAUCCCAUUAGCCCAAUCACUGGGCAGAGUUUCCAGAAACAACAAUCUAUUCCUGACUCCUUUUUAUAGUGAAAACAUACAAAAUAUAAAAGCUACCUAGCUCCCAAGCUGCCAAAAACCUAUUGCCAUCUGAUACCAUCCUACUCUACAUGUACAAUGCCAGAAAGGAGGCAGAAAAUUAGUGCCCCAAUCCUGGAUCUUUUCUGAGGAGAACUCAUCUGACUGAGAAUGAUCACCUUUUAAACUAGAUGUUAGUUUCAUUCUAAUCAAGCCUUGCGAAGAGAAUUAGGCAGAAAGUCUUCUUGGAAAAGGAGUCUGAAAGAAGAAGUUGGCAGCGUUCCAACAAACAUAGGCGUCAAAAAAAAAAAAAAAAUCUAACAACAUGAAUCUGUUCGCUAGCCAGAAAGAAAAUAUAUUGUAUAUUUAAGGCAGAGCAGCAACGUUGCAUAACUUGGGGGGGGGGGGGUACCAUUCACUUCAUAGUCUAUGUGAAUGGUGCCCCCUGGAGUUGUGCAGUGCACAACUGGUGAAACCAAACUUAGACAAAGUUGAUUCAGGGUAUCUAAGUCAGAAGAGUGUCUAUAAUAAGUGUAUUGGCUUUAGGCUAUGGAAAAAAUCUAAGUUGUUGUGGACUUCUCUGUAUAAAAUUCUUAAUGCACACAGUAAAACCCAAACUUCCCACA